Regulatory RNA element from Treponema pedis str. T A4, 38 nucleotides. It matches the Rfam family "Selenocysteine insertion sequence 4". The record is from Rfam. Lineage: Bacteria; Pseudomonadati; Spirochaetota; Spirochaetia; Treponematales; Treponemataceae.
GGUACUUGUACACGUUGCGGCGCAACGAUAGUAAAAGA